UUCAUUUCAUUUAUUAUAUUUAGACAAAAAAUGUUAGCAGUUUUCAAAACUAAAACAAAAAAUCAACAGGCCCAAAGCUAACUUAAAAAUAAACUUACUCUACUAUAAUACUCUUGAGGUGCUUUCCUAUACACGAAAACAACUACAUCAAAAUAAUGUACUGCAUAGCAGUAUUCAGGAGCAAACAUAGGCUUAUGCAAAUUUUACAUAGGCCAAAAAAUAGUUAAUGAAAAGAAAUGCUUGCAAAAGUAAUACUUAACAUUAGAUUUAUUAAGUGGAAUGUUUCUAACAUCAAUGAUUAACCAAUUCCAAUUAUACGGAUAAUAGGUGUGCUAAAACAUGAACAUUUAUGAGUUCCUUGCAGCAAAUACAUCUUAAAUCUUUGGUUUCCAGUCUGCCAUAUAGUAGGCCUAUAGAUCUGCGAAAUCAGCUCCAUUCCGGUAUUAAACCUCUUAUGUAUACAUCAAAUAAAAAUAUGAAAAAUGGAAAUAAUGUUAUUUAUUAUUAUUAUUAUUAUUAUUAUUAUUAUUAUUAUUAUUAUUAUUAUUAUUAUUAUUAUUAUUAUUACAAUUAGGGACCACCUCUUAAAAGUACCAACUACAAAUCUUUAAUCUUUCAACAUAGCUAACAUUUAAAAGUUAUCCCUAAGACACUCUAAAUGCUUUAAGGUCAAAAUAGUAGUCUUGAAUUGGAGGGCGAACUUUAUAUAAUGUGUUCGAAUAGGAAAAAGAUGUUUUAGCGUAUCGAGCAAAGUCCUUCAACGAAAAGUUCCUUUAUUAAAUUGUAUGAAAAAAGUUUCUGGAUAGGAGCUAUGGUUAAGCAAGAAAAGCUUACCGGUACAGGUCGCAGCUAGGAAAUAAUAGUAAAUAAUGUUAAAAUUAUGUUCGCUGCGUAGCAACGUAAACACAAUAUAAACAAAUGGAUAAAUAAUAACAAUAAUAACAGUGCUAAAAUAGGACUACAUCUACUUUAGCGCACUGUUGUUAUUACUAUUUAUCAAUUUGUUUAUAAUGUGUUCACGAUGCUACGUAUAUAUAUAUAUAUAUAUAUAUAUAUAUAUAUAUAUAUAUAUAUCUUUACCUUUUUGAUUUACAGUGCUACUAAGAAACUCUGAUUUAACAUGUUUAAUAACAUCAUACAUGCAUAAACAAUUAUGUCUAUAAUAAUAUAAAACAUUUUAAUAAAUACUUUCUUUUUAGAUAUCCUAGGAAAGUAAGGUAACCCGUGUUGUGCGUUUUAUGUUCGUUGAUAAUAAAAUGUCUUAACAUAGGCCCCACCUCCA
Molecule: long non-coding RNA, 1282 nt
Organism: Anneissia japonica
Lineage: Eukaryota; Metazoa; Echinodermata; Crinoidea; Comatulida; Comatulidae
Exons: 2
Source: RefSeq, a predicted model, not a curated record